RNAcentral lists this long non-coding RNA (943 nucleotides) under Homo sapiens (human). RNAcentral's name for it is "PREDICTED lncRNA (TCONS_00063812)". The record is from RNAcentral. Lineage: Eukaryota; Metazoa; Chordata; Mammalia; Primates; Hominidae.
CCUACUCAAGAUGGAGUCGCUCUGGUUUGAACGCCUCUGACACUUCCACUCUCAAGGAAUGGUGUUUUUAUUCUCUUCUCCCCAGAAUGUACUUCUGGUCUGUCCCGCUGUUCCAUUCCACAGCAUUUUAGGAGGUUCUCAAGAGUGUCCUAAACAAGCAGAGAAGAAUGGUGAGACUUACCCAUUCCUAGUUUAAGAAAUGAGUGAAAUGGGGUCUGAGUUAUAUCACAGCUACAGUUUAGACUCCUGUGGUACAGUUGGCUUUCCCAGGCUCCCGGCGUCCAUGCUGUCUCGGCGCUAUCUCGCAGCCUGACGCCACGCGCCAUCUGCUGGCCUUGAGCUGCAUAGCUCUAGAGUAACUUCAGAGGCCACGGGGGAACAAAGAGCACUCGCCUACUUGACUGAGCUCCGACAGGCCGUCCCUCUGCUUCAGGUGUAGGCGUGAACAAGUCCAGACCACUACCUUAACAGCUUUAUACAAUUAUUCCCAAAUCUUCUAAACUGACAGUGAGGGAGAGUAAUUUGAAAGGACUGCUCAACUCAACGUCAUUUGAAGAUUUGCACCACAGCUGCAUUUUUCCAAUUUCCUGGCAUCUAUUCUGCUCUCCUGGACUUUUCAAAAACAAUUUCUUUCAGAUCCCUGGAGGCCUCUCCCAGGGCCUGUGGUGUGGAGAGUUGGACUUGACCCUACUGUAAGAGACCCAACUUCCAAAGACUGCAUCAGAUGAAAGGCUCUCCAUAUAGACUACAGACUUGUCAGCUGGUUAAGGAGGCAAACAGAACAGUCUGCUACAAACUCCAGUCCAUGUAUCUGUGCUGAAAAUAAAAGGAGUCUUCAGGAAUCAAAGAAGAAAAUAUUUUUAUAAAGAAAUUUUAUUGCAUAAUUCUUGUAUACAAUAAACAUAGGAAAAGGGUUUUUAAUGAAAAUUCAUGUCAUUUUUCA